Pelodiscus sinensis (Chinese soft-shelled turtle) is the source of this 458-nucleotide non-coding RNA. The record is from RefSeq and is a predicted model, not a curated record. NCBI's taxonomy places the organism in Eukaryota, Metazoa, Chordata, Testudines, Trionychidae.
UGCCAGCAGGAUCCAGCCUGCAGGCACACUGCCAGGACCUUCAAGCACACAGCAGCCACUGUUUUAAGUGGAGGACUGCUCCCUGUGCCUCUCUGCUCUGGAGGGAGGGGAAGGCUUUCUGUGAUCUCAUCAUCCCCAAGCCUAAUCCUCAGCUCGUAUUGGCUGGAAACAACUGGCCAAUAGGAACUGACCCCAGCCAGUCUCUCAGCUCCUACUGGCUGAAAGUUGAAAGACUGUGCUGUGGGAUGGAGGCAGCACAAGCCUCUUCCCCUCCCGGAGCUUUUUUUGAGAGCCACAAGGAAGGAACAGCCUGCAGUUUUAAGCGGUCUGGGGCUGGCCAACUGUGACACUGAGGGUUGCACGGCAAGAACAGCUGAAACCUUUAGCUCACGUAUGAACAGCAGAUAACUGAAACCUAAGGAGAUGAAAGGAGCUCCGUCCGUGACCAGAGGCAGAUU